UACAGGGGGUGCAAACGUUGCUCGGAAUUAUUGGGCGUAAAGCGCACGUAGGCGGUCUGUUAUGUCGGAUGUGAAAGCCCUUGGCUCAACUGAGGAAGUGCAUCCGAAACUGGCAGGCUAGAGUACGUAAGAGGGUCGCGGAAUUCCCGGUGUAGAGGUGAAAUUCGUAGAUAUCGGGAGGAACACCGGUGGCGAAGGCGGCGACCUGGGACGAUACUGACGCUGAGGUGCGAAAGCCAGGGGAGCAAACGGG
This 253-nucleotide ribosomal RNA is filed under the name uncultured bacterium. Its description in RNAcentral is "partial 16S ribosomal RNA". It matches the Rfam family "Bacterial small subunit ribosomal RNA", at positions 524 to 776 of the family's 1533-position model. The record is from RNAcentral.